AGCAGCCGCGGUAAUUCCAGCUCCAAUAGCGUAUAUUAAAGUUGUUGCAGUUAAAAAGCUCGUAGUUGAAUUUCGGGAUCAAUUUAUUGGUCGUGCUAUUGUACGUACUGGUAUUAUUGAUUCCUACCUUCUGACGAACCAUGAUGUCAUUAAUUUGGUGUCAUGGGGAAUCAGGACUGUUACUUUGAAAAAAUUAGAGUGUUUAAAGCAGGCUCACGCUUGAAUACAUUAGCAUGGAAUAACGAAAUAGGACGUUUGAUUCUAUUUUGUUGGUUUCUAGGAUCGACGUAAUGAUUAAUAGGGAUAGUUGGGGGCAUUAGUAUUCAAUUGUCAGAGGUGAAAUUCUUGGAUUUAUUGAAGACUAACUACUGCGAAAGCAUUUGCCAAGGAUGUUUUCAUUUAUCAAGAACGAAAGUUAGGGGAUCGAAGACGAUCAGAUACCGUCGUAGUCUUAACCAUAAACUAUGCCGACUAGGGAUCGGAUGAUGUUAAUUUUUUAAUGACUCA
RNAcentral lists this ribosomal RNA (507 nucleotides) under uncultured Glomeromycotina. RNAcentral's name for it is "SSU rRNA". It matches the Rfam family "Eukaryotic small subunit ribosomal RNA", at positions 569 to 1078 of the family's 1831-position model. The record is from RNAcentral. Lineage: Eukaryota; Fungi; Glomeromycota.